This 498-nucleotide ribosomal RNA is filed under the name uncultured bacterium. Its description in RNAcentral is "partial 16S ribosomal RNA". It matches the Rfam family "Bacterial small subunit ribosomal RNA", at positions 28 to 523 of the family's 1533-position model. The record is from RNAcentral.
GACGAACGCUGGCGGCGUGCCUAACACAUGCAAGUCGAGCGGAGUCAGUAAGAGGAAGUUUUCGGAUGGAAUCUUAUUGAUUUAGCGGCGGACGGGUGAGUAACGCGUGAGCGACCAACCUUGCACAGGGGGAUAACGGACCGAAAGGUUCACUAAUACCGCAUGAGACCACGGUGUUGCAUGACACAGGGGACAAAGGAGCAAUCCGGUGCAAGACGGGCUCGCGUCCGAUUAGGUAGUUGGAGGGGUAACGGCCCACCAAGCCUAUGAUCGGUAGCCGACCUGAGAGGGUGAUCGGCCAUAUUGAAACUGGGAUACGGUCCAAACUCCUACGGGAGGCAGCAGUGGGGAAUAUUGGGCAAUGGGGGAAACCCUGACCCAGCAACGCCGCGUGAAGGAAGAAGGUUUUCGGAUUGUAAACUUCUGUCCUUGGUGAAGAGAAGAAGACGGUAGCCAAGGAGGAAGCCCCGGCUAACUACGUGCCAGCCGCCGCAGUAA